Molecule: ribosomal RNA, 492 nt
Filed under: uncultured bacterium
Lineage: Bacteria
Description: partial 16S ribosomal RNA
Rfam family: Bacterial small subunit ribosomal RNA
Source: RNAcentral
AGUGAACGCUGGCGGUAGGCCUAACACAUGCAAGUCGAACGGCAGCACAGUAAGAGCUCGCUCUUACGGGUGGCGAGUGGCGGACGGGUGAGGAAUACAUCGGAAUCUACUUUUUCGUGGGGGAUAACGUAGGGAAACUUACGCUAAUACCGCAUACGACCUACGGGUGAAAGCAGGGGAUCUUCGGACCUUGCGCGAUUGAAUGAGCCGAUGUCGGAUUAGCUAGUUGGCGGGGUAAAGGCCCACCAAGGCGACGAUCCGUAGCUGGUCUGAGAGGAUGAUCAGCCACACUGGAACUGAGACACGGUCCAGACUCCUACGGGAGGCAGCAGUGGGGAAUAUUGGACAAUGGGCGCGAGCCUGAUCCAGCCAUACCGCGUGGGUGAAGAAGGCCUUCGGGUUGUAAAGCCCUUUUGUUGGGAAAGAAAAGCAGCAGGUUAAUACCCCGCUGUUCUGACGGUACCCAAAGAAUAAGCACCGGCUAACUUCGUG